AACGAACGCUGGCGGCAUGCCUAACACAUGCAAGUCGAACGAGACCUUCGGGUCUAGUGGCGCAGGGGUGCGUAACGCGUGGGAACCUGCCCUUAGGUUCGGAAUAACUCCCCGAAAGGGGUGCUAAUACCGGAUAAUGUCAUCGGACCAAAGAUUUAUCGCCUUUGGAUGGGCCCGCGUUGGAUUAGCUAGUUGGUAGGGUAAAAGCAUACCAAGGCGACGAUCCAUAGCUGGUCUGAGAGGAUGAUCAGCCACACUGGGACUGAGACACGGCCCAGACUCCUACGGGAGACAGCAGUGGGGAAUAUUGGACAAUGGGCGAAAGCCUGAUCCAGCAAUGCCGCGUGAGUGAUGAAGGCCUUAGGGUUGUAAAGCUCUUUUACCCGGGAUGAUAAUGACAGUACCGGGAGAAUAAGCACCGGCUAACUCCGUG
This 433-nucleotide ribosomal RNA is filed under the name uncultured bacterium. Its description in RNAcentral is "partial 16S ribosomal RNA". It matches the Rfam family "Bacterial small subunit ribosomal RNA", at positions 29 to 507 of the family's 1533-position model. The record is from RNAcentral.